CAUUCCAAAUCUAAUUAUGGAAGAAGUGAGCCUACAUUAGGUUUGUGAUGAAAUUGAAAUUCUGUGGACCAAAGUCAGAACAAGUGCUGUCAUAUUGAUUUUAGGGUUGUUUUAUUCUGGACACUACAAUGAUUAGAUGUUUCUUAGUUAAACGUGGAUGUUUAGCAUUUAUUCACAUGGAGACCAUGGGCCCAUGGGGCUAAGUAUGACUUAGGCAUGUUCGAGUCACUGUACAAGGAAUGUGUACCCAGUAGAUGAAAAAAAGAUGAAAGUGUAGGAUGGGAAUAGUAAUUCAGGUCUCAAGAAGCCAGGUCCACUGUUAAAUGGUGAACACAAAUUGUUAGGUAGCUCCAGUGCUAGAUGAGAGCAUUGAAUGAAGGACCCCCACAGCAGAUGGGUUGGGAAAAGCUGCAGGUGGCCUCAUUCAGCGAAGUAACGGUCUUGUUUGUCAGUGCUCGUUAAGCCCCAGUUUAACCAAUCUGAAUAUUAAGCUGAAGCUAGAUAUUAAGUUGGUUAUUAAGCUGCUAUUUACAACAGUAAUUGUUUGAAUUUUUAACCUAUAAAAGUUCCUUGUAAGUGAAGUUGAUGCUUUUGCUUUGUUAUCACUUCUGUGGUGGCUAAACAGCACGGCAUGGCCAGGUGAGGGACCUCCACGCUGGGGUGUUUCCUCUGUUCAUUUUCCUAACCACCAAGACACUACUCUGGGGAUUCCUGAGGGGAAAAAAUGCAUUUGGAGGCGCAUUAAGUGUAGGAGGGUUGAGGCUGCAGCUGCCAGCUCUGCCCCUGGGCUGCACAGCUGCCUCCCGCGGUGGGCCCCGCGGGUACGCGCUGUGGCAGCCGCAGCUGCUGGCAGAGGAGGGCGGCGGGGCGGCAGCGGGGCUGGCGGCCGCUCGUGAGGGGCAGGAAGGGCCAGAAGCGCCUCCGGGCUCCUCGGGCGAGCCGCAGGGGGGCGGUAACGCUCCCGAACUGCGUCGGGAACGGCGCCGGCCCUACCCAGGCCCGCAGGCGCCCCGGCGGGCCGCGUACUCACCACCUUCACCAGCUGGGACAUGGACACCUCGAACUGGAUGAUGACGGGGUCCGAGACGUUCUUCACGGGCCGGACGAACUGGUUGUAGUUCUUGAAGAGGGCCGCGUACAGCCGGUGUUCGGCAUCGGAGCCGCCGCAGCCUGCGGGGGCACGGCGCGGUCUAGGCCCCCAGGCCUGCGGGAGUAGCAGGGGUGCGGAGCUGAGGAAGGGGUGAGCAGAACCUCACAGAGCGGGCAGUGUGGGAGCUGCUGGAGGGCUUGCAAAAGAUUCCAGACAAAGGUAUACGCCUUUUCUACGUUUUGCUGCUGAUACUGCUGCUCAUGGUGCCUUGUGGCUGAUGGGAAAGCUGUAAGCUGGAAUCGUUGAACCACAGGCUCCUUCAGCUGUUUACAGUGAGCACCUUACAUUGAAGUGAACUUCUGUGAUACCUGUCAAGGUCUUGGUCAUCUCAUCAACAUCGAGGCAUACUUGGCUUUCUGAUCAGUUGAAAAAUGGAACUUCUGAUAUAUCAAGCCAUUUGCAUAACACUCCAGAGGAUUCACAAAGAGCUUCAGUACGCACCGCAAGGGGCUUGACCACGUGGGCACUGUAUUGCCAAGAGACUGAGCAGGGUCGCCUUUUUCAGCUGUAAAGGCCCAGGUCAUAGAAUCAUAGAAUAUCCUGAGUUGGAAGGGACCCAUAAGGAUCAUCAAGUCCAACUUCUGGUCAUAGGCAUGGACUAAGCCAGAAACUUGAAUGAGCCAGGCGGGUGAGUGGAUGGCACUGUGGGUCAAGAGUUGGUCAGUUGGUUUCGUUAGUCCGUUUUGCCUGGUGGGCAGGCUUGGCAAGCACCUUGUGACAGCAGUGUCCAUCUCCUGCUACGUUCCUGUGUCACGUCAGAUGUCAGCGGUUCCAGUUCCUGAAAUGCUGGAGAUGCUCAAAGUGCAAGAGGAGCAGGGAGUGUGACGCAUCUCUGGGAAGUUAGUCACAUGACCUUGCCUCGGCAUGGCAAAUGGAAGCGCCAAACCUGGAUCAGGAAGGGGAUGAAGAAGAAACUGUCAACAUCCUAGCUGGCCUCUGUGGUCCACGCUGAGGAUGGAUUCUGACCCUCUGAGAAGUGAAGAGGAGCCUUGUGUCUGAAGCAACAUCCUGGCUAGCCUUUGUGUUCCUUGUUGAGGAUGGAACCUGCCUCCCAGCAUUCCCAAGUGACUUCAAGUGACUGAAGCUAUGACUUAGAUGCUCCAAGCUCAGCUGUGCCUUCAUGUCAGCUUCUAUGGUGAUCAAGACAGGUUGGAUUGCAUCUUGGAGAAGCAGGAUCCUCUUGACUCACUGUCUUUCUGCCUGUGCCAAGGUUCCAGCUCUCUUUGCUGGAAGGACAGAUUUCAAGCCCACAAAUCAAUAAGAUGUCCAUAUGCUGCCAUGUGGAGUUGGGCAUGUGCAUGACUGUUUUUCUGGAUCAAGAUUAGAGUUCUCACCACUUGAAAAGAUUCAGUCUGUGGUUUGUGAAGCGCUGCCAGUUCCUCUGGAAUUAAAGAUUUAUAUAAAAUAUCAAUGUUUAAAAAAAAAAAAAAAAAA
Long non-coding RNA from Anas platyrhynchos (mallard), 2584 nucleotides. RefSeq lists it as uncharacterized. NCBI's taxonomy places the organism in Eukaryota, Metazoa, Chordata, Aves, Anseriformes, Anatidae. The record is from RefSeq and is a predicted model, not a curated record.